GGAUGCGAUCAUACCACCACUAAAGCACUGGAUCUCUUCAGAACUCCGAAGUUAAGCGUGCUUGGGCGAGAGUAGUACUAGGAUGGGCGACCUCCUGGGAAGUCCUCGUGUUGUAUUCC
RNAcentral lists this ribosomal RNA (119 nucleotides) under Triticum aestivum (bread wheat). Lineage: Eukaryota; Viridiplantae; Streptophyta; Magnoliopsida; Poales; Poaceae. The record is from RNAcentral.